AAAUGAAUGGCCGCGGUACCCUGACCGUGCUAAGGUAGCGUAAUCAGUUGGCUUUUAAAUGGAGUCAGGAAUGAACGGGAUAACCGGGUUUAGCUGUCUCUUAAACUAAUUUAUUGAAUUUACUGUCUAAGUGAAAAAGCUUAGAGGUAGAAAAAAGACGAGAAGACCCUUAGAGUUUUUUUGAAGGUAGAUUAAUAAAUAUCUAUAAUAAUUUUGUUGGGGCGACAAGAAAGUAUUUAACAACCUUUCUUUUAAGAUAUGUCGAAUUUUGUUAGGAUAGAAUAAAUUACCUGAGGGAUAACAGCAUAAUUCUAUAAAUGAGUUUGUGACCUCGAUGUUGGACUAGGAAACUAGUAAGCUAGCCGUUUACUGUGUGAGUUCUGUUCGAACUAUAAUUCCU
Molecule: ribosomal RNA, 400 nt
Filed under: Doridoxa ingolfiana
Lineage: Eukaryota; Metazoa; Mollusca; Gastropoda; Nudibranchia; Doridoxidae
Description: partial 16S ribosomal RNA
Rfam family: Bacterial large subunit ribosomal RNA
Source: RNAcentral